CUCGAUCCUCAUUCUCUCUUUCCUUUCUCCCAAUUUUAGUAACUAAACUUUACAGGCCUUGUGCAACAAAACAAAAUAAAUUCCACUCUCUCCAAUGACUUCUCUGGUAAAAGUCUCCGACGUGCCACUGACUCCCUCCGGCCAGCUGUUUCUCCAGCCGGAGAUGAACACCAUUAUCAACUGUGCAGUCGGCGGCAAAAACGACAUGGACACGGAAGCUAUAAAAUCCGCCUUAAAGAACUCCAUCAUGACGAAGCACCCGAGAUUUAGCAGUCUCCUUGUACACGACAAGAACGGAAUGGAGCAUUGGAGAAGAACAGAGGUCGACGUCGACAAACACAUCAUAUAUGCUGAGAUCCCUAAGGUCAACGGCACAGCAGACAACAACGCCGGCAUUGAUGCCGAGAAAAUGGUGAACGAUUAUAUAGCAGAUUUAUCAGUAAGUAGCCCGCUUAGCUUGGACAAGCCUUUGUGGGAAGUUCACAUAAUGUGGGAGCCACCGUGCGCUGUUUUCAGGUUUCAUCACGCACUUGGGGAUGGGAUCGAACUGAUGUCGAUGUUCCUCGGAAGUUGCAGGAAGUUGGAGGAUCCAGAGGCUGUGCCCACCUUGGAUAGUGGUCGUAUCCGCAGGAAUUGGAGGGGAAGCGGAGGGAAAUUGAAGGGUCGUAGAGGUCUUUUGAUGUGGUUCUUGAAGAUGGUUUUGUAUGCCUUGAAUUUUUUGAUGGGGUUCUUGAAGGUGGUUUUUUAUACUUUGCUUUUCUACGUGGAGUUUGUGUUGAGGUGUUUCUGGGUUGGUGACUCGAAGACAGUUAUCUCCGGCGGUGAUGGGGUGGAGCUAUGGCCGAGGAAAGUGGCUACUGCCCAUUUCUUGAUUGAGGACAUGAAAAUGGUGAAAAAGGCUGUUGCUAAUGCGACCAUUAAUGAUGUUCUUUUGGGAAUGAUAUCAGCUGGAUUUUCAAGGUACUUGGAUCAUCGAUCGCCAAAUUCUUUGAAGAAAAAUCAGCGACUCACGGGAGUAGCCAUGGUUAAUUUAAAAGAGCCGAUAACAUUGCAGGAUAUGGAUCUGAACAAAAUGAUAGAAAGCACUCCAAGGUCUCGUAAGGGCAACAAAUUUGGGAUUAUUCUCAUACCCAUUUUUUAUAAUAAAGGUAUCGCACCUCUGCAGUAUGUGAAGAUAGCUAAGAGAACAGUUGACAGGAAGAAACAGUCCUUGGAGGCUUUUAUCUCAUAUGGAAUUUCAAAUUUAUCAAACUACUUGUUCGGAUCUAAGUUUGUUUCCUAUUUCAUGUACAGGAUUCUUUGUCAUAGUAGCUUUACCAUCUCCAAUAUGGCUGGACCAAAAGAUCAGGUUACUUUAGCAGGCAAUCCUAUAACAUAUAUAAAGGCUAACAUCACUGGCGUGCCCCAAGCAGUGGCAAUGCACAUGGUGAGCUAUGCAGGGAAAGCUGACAUGCAACUUGUGGUGGCCAAAGACAUCAUCCCUGACCCUCAAUUUCUUGCUAAAUGCUUAGAAGAUUCCUUGCUUGAAAUGAAGGAAGCUGCUAUUGCUACCAUGAAAAAAAAAGGGAAAAAAAUGUUAUCAUAAAGAUACAAGAAAGAAAAAAUUGGUUGGCCAUUGUCUGGCAAGUUAAUUACCUUUAUAUGCAUCGACUUUUUGGCGAAAGUAAUAAAAUAAAAGAUAAUUGCAUUAAGAGGUAUAAUAUUUGGUAAAUUAUUAUAUAUUUUCGGUAUAAAUGUACCCUCACUCAUCAAAAUAUAGGUCUUAUAUUCUUAAAUUUAAUGAAUAAAUAUUUUUUUGUAAGUGAUGAGUGCACUGUGUAAUUUGCCAUCACCUUUAAGCCAAAAGGUGACUCCCUUGAAAAUGUAUAAAUAAGGCCGAAUUUCUCUUAUGUGUUUAGAGGAAAAAAAAUGUAAUAAAAUUGAUGGAGGGAUGUUGCGUAUUGAACCUAAAAAGGAGGUUUCUUUUGAGUGUUCAUUGCGUGUACAAGUGUGUGCAAGUUGGUGCGAUUUCUUGCUUAGCCCUUAGUCUUUAGAACUCUCAUUCAAUAAAUUGGUAGAGAAUUUAUUGUUUCUACAAACAAGACACACAUCUAAACUGCGAAAUCUUUAAUAUAGUUA
RNAcentral lists this unclassified non-coding RNA (2118 nucleotides) under Hevea brasiliensis (rubber tree). Lineage: Eukaryota; Viridiplantae; Streptophyta; Magnoliopsida; Malpighiales; Euphorbiaceae. The record is from RNAcentral.